Small nucleolar RNA from Mastomys coucha (southern multimammate mouse), 128 nucleotides. RefSeq annotates it as small nucleolar RNA SNORA17. The record is from RefSeq and is a predicted model, not a curated record. The transcript has a single exon. Lineage: Eukaryota; Metazoa; Chordata; Mammalia; Rodentia; Muridae.
GCUGACAUAGACGUGUUACAAGUGUGGCUGCUAUGUCACAUAUGAGUCAGUAGGUGGCAGAAAGGAGAUAGGCUAUGUCCAUGCUCAAGGUUCUGACCUAUGAACUGAGUAAUUAGUAGUCUAAUAUU